GCAGUGGGGUGGCUUGUCGCUUGGCGGGUAAUCGUCAAGAGGAAAGUCCGGGCAACACAGAGCAUCACAUUUCUUAACGGGAAGCCAUGGGCGACCGUGGGGUUUAAGGUGACAGAAAACAACCGCCACAAGCAUGCGGGCCAUGCCUGUGGUAAGGGUGAAAAGGUGGGGUAAGAGCCCACCGGGCGUGGUGGUGACAUCACGUGCCGCACUACCUGUGAGUUGCAAGGUCAAGUAUACCGGCAUCUAAGGGCUGCUCGUCCAUUGCCGGGGGGUAGGCCGCUACUUCGUGUUGCCACAUGGAACACGAUAUACUGACGCAGCAAUGCGCCAGACAGAUAAAUGACAGGCGGCAGUGCCUAGUGCGCUGCUACAUAACCCGGCUUAUAGCCUCACUGCCUUU
This 403-nucleotide RNase P RNA is filed under the name Muribaculaceae bacterium. RNAcentral describes it as "RNase P RNA component class A". It matches the Rfam family "Bacterial RNase P class A". Rfam says of the family: Ribonuclease P (RNase P) is a ubiquitous endoribonuclease, found in archaea, bacteria and eukarya as well as chloroplasts and mitochondria. Its best characterised activity is the generation of mature 5'-ends of tRNAs by cleaving the 5'-leader elements of precursor-tRNAs. Cellular RNase Ps are ribonucleoproteins. Lineage: Bacteria; Pseudomonadati; Bacteroidota; Bacteroidia; Bacteroidales; Muribaculaceae. The record is from RNAcentral.